RNAcentral lists this long non-coding RNA (765 nucleotides) under Naja naja (Indian cobra). RNAcentral describes it as "lncRNA (ENSNNAG00000001618.1)". Lineage: Eukaryota; Metazoa; Chordata; Lepidosauria; Squamata; Elapidae. The record is from RNAcentral.
UGAUAAAGAUAUAAUGUGUUAUCUGGGAUGUAUGAUACUCUAUUUUAUCUAUGUGAAAAAUGAAAUGGAAGUGCUAUUUGAAUAUUAAUAAGUUGGGAAUUAACUUCAUCCAUGGCUGGAUAAUCUGUGGUGCUCCAGAUGUUACUGAAAUAUUACUGGAAACAUUCUGUAUUGGUCAUGUUGAAUGGGUACCAGCACAAUCACCAGAGCUGUCCUUGUGGAGUCCUUUCAUGCAUUCUUGAGUGAAUACUGCACCUGUUUUUGGGAAGAAACCUUUUAUAAGGGUGCUAUUUCUCCUGUUAAGAUUGCAGCACUUGGUCCUCGGCAACUGCCAACUUUUCCUGAUGUGAAUGUAAAGAUAAAAGGAGGUAACAUAGACCAUCAGCAUGCUGCAAACGUUCUGAAAAAGUCAAAAAGCUUUGAAGUACAACAUUCCAAGGAUCGGCCAUUAUCAGCUCGAGAAAGGAGAAGAUUAAAGCAAUCCCAAGAGGACAUGCUUUCUUCUGGGCCUUCUAUAAGACAAAUGUCUUAUAAUGCAUCAACAGAAACAAAACUUCCAAAGGAAGACAGUUCUAUUCAGAUUGCUCAGUUUACUUCAGAAUCCAGCACUGGUAAGAAGAAAAGCUUAACUGGUUGUUGCACUGAGGAUGAACUGAGCUCUUCUGCAAGCUCCACAGAAAAAUCAGAUGGAGAUUAUAAAGAAAAGUAGGUGUUUUCUGUCCAUAGUUAUGUGUGGUUUACACAUGUUAAUCACAUAUAUAGUUU